UUGAUCCUGGCUCAGGACGAACGCUGGCGGCGUGCCUAAUACAUGCAAGUCGAGCGGAUUUAUCCUUCGGGAUAAGUUAGCGGCGGACGGGUGAGUAACACGUAGGCAACCUGCCUAUAAGACUGGGAUAACUAUCGGAAACGAUAGCUAAGACCGGAUAACUGAUUUUCUCGCAUGAGAAAAUUAUGAAACACGGAGCAAUCUGUGGCUUAUAGAUGGGCCUGCGGCGCAUUAGCUAGUUGGUAGGGUAACGGCCUACCAAGGCGACGAUGCGUAGCCGACCUGAGAGGGUGAACGGCCACACUGGGACUGAGACACGGCCCAGACUCCUACGGGAGGCAGCAGUAGGGAAUCUUCCGCAAUGGACGCAAGUCUGACGGAGCAACGCCGCGUGAGUGAUGAAGGUUUUCGGAUCGUAAAGCUCUGUUGCCCUAGACGAACAGCAAGAGGAGUAACUGCCUUUUGUGUGACGGUAUAGGAGAAGAAAGCCCCGGCUAACUACGUGCCAGCAGCCGCGGUAAUACGUAGGGGGCAAGCGUUGUCCGGAAUUAUUGGGCGUAAAGCGCGCGCAGGCGGUCAAUUAAGUUGGGUGUUUAAGCCCGGGGCUCAACCCCGGUUCGCAUCCAAAACUGGUCGACUUGAGUGUAGGAGAGGAAAGUGGAAUUCCACGUGUAGCGGUGAAAUGCGUAGAGAUGUGGAGGAACACCAGUGGCGAAGGCGACUUUCUGGCCUAUAACUGACGCUGAGGCGCGAAAGCGUGGGGAGCAAACAGGAUUAGAUACCCUGGUAGUCCGCGCCGUAAA
Molecule: ribosomal RNA, 803 nt
Filed under: uncultured bacterium
Lineage: Bacteria
Description: bacterial SSU rRNA
Rfam family: Bacterial small subunit ribosomal RNA
Source: RNAcentral